RNAcentral lists this ribosomal RNA (349 nucleotides) under Bradyrhizobium sp. 10.1. RNAcentral describes it as "bacterial LSU rRNA". It matches the Rfam family "Bacterial large subunit ribosomal RNA", at positions 1 to 233 of the family's 2925-position model. RNAcentral also lists the same sequence under 6 other names. The record is from RNAcentral. Lineage: Bacteria; Pseudomonadati; Pseudomonadota; Alphaproteobacteria; Hyphomicrobiales; Nitrobacteraceae.
GCAAUCAAGUGCCUUAAGGGUGUUCGGUGGAUGCCUUGGCGCUGAGAGGCGAUGAAGGACGUGCUACGCUGCGAUAAGCCGUGGGGAGCUGCGAAGAAGCUUUGAUCCAUGGAUUUCCGAAUGGGGAAACCCACCUUCGAUAGCCGGAACUCCAAGACCUCAGUCGAAAGACUGUGGUGUGGGGUUCGAACAGAAAUGUGAGAUGCCUAAGCCUUUAGAUUUCGAUCGAAGAGGUUUUGGAUUUCCGGUUAUCAAAAGAAGGUAUGAGACUUCUGAAUACAUAGGAGGUUUCAAGCAAACCCAGGGAACUGAAACAUCUAAGUACCUGGAGGAAAGGACAUCAACAGAG